GAUGAACGCUGGCGGCGUGCCUAAUACAUGCAAGUCGAGCGAACAGACGAGGAGCUUGCUCCUCUGACGUUAGCGGCGGACGGGAGAGUAACACGUGGAUCACCUACCUAUCAUACUGGGAUCACUUCGGGAAACCGGCGCUAAUACCGGAUAAUAUAUUGCACCGCAUGGUUCAAUGGUGAAUGACGGUUUUGCUGUCUGUUCUCGCUGGUUCCGCGCCGCAUUAGCUGGUUGGUAAGGUAACGGGUUACCACGGCAAGGAGGCGUAGACCAACUGUGGGGGGGGUCGGCCACAUUGGAACGGGGCCACGGUCCAGACGCCUGAGGGAGGCAGCAGUAGGCAAUGUUCCGCAAUGGGGGAAAGCCUGACGGAGCAACGCCGCGUGAGUGAUGAAGGUCUUCGGAUCGUAAAACUCUGUUAUUAGGGAAGAACAAAUGUGUAAGUAACUAUGCACGUCUUGACGGUACCGAAUCAGAAAGCCACGGCUAACUACGUG
This 497-nucleotide ribosomal RNA is filed under the name uncultured bacterium. Its description in RNAcentral is "partial 16S ribosomal RNA". It matches the Rfam family "Bacterial small subunit ribosomal RNA", at positions 28 to 507 of the family's 1533-position model. The record is from RNAcentral.